AAAGACGACUCUCGGCAACGGAUAUCUCGGCUCUCGCAUCGAUGAAGAACGUAGCGAAAUGCGAUACUUGGUGUGAAUUGCAGAAUCCCGUGAACCAUCGAGUCUUUGAACGCAAGUUGCGCCUGAGGCCACUCGGCCGAGGGCACGCCUGCCUGGGCGUCACG
RNAcentral lists this ribosomal RNA (164 nucleotides) under Gomortega nitida. RNAcentral describes it as "5.8S ribosomal RNA". It matches the Rfam family "5.8S ribosomal RNA". Rfam says of the family: 5.8S ribosomal RNA (5.8S rRNA) is a component of the large subunit of the eukaryotic ribosome. It is transcribed by RNA polymerase I as part of the 45S precursor that also contains 18S and 28S rRNA. Functionally, it is thought that 5.8S rRNA may be involved in ribosome translocation. The record is from RNAcentral. Lineage: Eukaryota; Viridiplantae; Streptophyta; Magnoliopsida; Laurales; Gomortegaceae.